GCGAAGGUAACCUCAGCGCGGUCGGAAAUCGCGCAGUGAGUGCAUAGGCAUAAGGUUGCUUGACUGCAAGACAAACAAGUCGAGCAGGUACGAAAGUAGGUCUAAGUGAUCCGGUGGUUCUGUAUGGAAGGGCCAUCGCUCAACGGAUAAAAGGUACUCUGGGGAUAACAGGCUGAUACCGCCCAAGAGUUCACAUCGACGGCGGUGUUUGGCACCUCGAUGUCGGCUCAUCACAUCCUGGGGCUGAAGCCGGUCCCAAGGGUAUGGCUGUUCGCCAUUUAAAGUGGUACGCGAGCUGGGUUUAGAACGUCGUGAGACAGUUCGGUCCCUAUCUACCGUGGGCGUUGGAAAUUUGAGAGGAUCUGCUCCUAGUACGAGAGGACCAGAGUGGACGAACCUCUGGUGUACCGGUUGUGACGCCAGUCGCAUCGCCGGGUAGCUAUGUUCGGAAGGGAUAACCGCUGAAAGCAUCUAAG
Molecule: ribosomal RNA, 476 nt
Filed under: Ditylum brightwellii
Lineage: Eukaryota; Bacillariophyta; Thalassiosirophyceae; Lithodesmiales; Lithodesmiaceae
Description: partial Bacterial large subunit ribosomal RNA
Rfam family: Bacterial large subunit ribosomal RNA
Source: RNAcentral